CCUACGGGGGGCAGCAGUGGGGAAUAUUGCGCAAUGGGGGGAACCCUGACGCAGCAACGCCGCGUGAAGGAAGAAGGCUUUCGGGUCGUAAACUUUUGUCUUUAGGGAAGAAGGAAGUGACGGUACCUAAGGAGGAAGCCACGGCUAACUACGUGCCAGCAGCCGCGGUAAUACGUAGGUGGCGAGCGUUGUCCGGAUUUACUGGGUGUAAAGGGCGUGUAGGCGGGUAUGCAAGUCAGAUGUGAAAUACCGGGGCUCAACUCCGGGGCUGCAUUUGAAACUGUGUAUCUUGAGUGCAGGAGAGGGAAGUGGAAUUCCUAGUGUAGCGGUGAAAUGCGUAGAUAUUAGGAGGAACACCAGUGGCGAAGGCGACUUCCUGGACUGCAACUGACGCUGAGGCGCGAAAGCGUGGGUAGCGAACAGGAUUAGAUACCCUGGUAGUCCACGCUGUAAACGAUGGAUACUAGGUGUAGGAGGUAUCGACCCCUUCUGUGCCGGAGUUAACACAAUAAGUAUCCCACCUGGGGAGUACGGCCGCAAGGUUGAAACUCAAAGGAAUUGACGGGGGCCCGCACAAGCAGUGGAGUAUGUGGUUUAAUUCGAAGCAACGCGAAGAACCUUACCAGGGCUUGACAUCUACCGGAUCCUGUAGAGAUACGGGAGUGCCUUUUGGAGCGGUAAGACAGGUGGUGCAUGGUUGUCGUCAGCUCGUGUCGUGAGAUGUUGGGUUAAGUCCCGCAACGAGCGCAACCCUUGUUGUUAGUUGCUACCAUUAAGUUGAGCACUCUAGCGAGACUGCCCGGUGACAAAUCGGAGGAAGGUGGGGAUGACGUCAAAUCAUCAUGCCC
RNAcentral lists this ribosomal RNA (848 nucleotides) under uncultured bacterium. RNAcentral describes it as "bacterial SSU rRNA". It matches the Rfam family "Bacterial small subunit ribosomal RNA", at positions 338 to 1200 of the family's 1533-position model. The record is from RNAcentral.